AUGGACCCUCCAGUUGCCGAUCCUGGACCAACCAAGGAUGAAGGUGUUGGAUCUAAGGGUGAAAUGGAUCUUCCAGUUGCCAAUCGUGGACCGGUGAGGGAUGAAGGUCAGCUUCUCCAGUGCCCAUAUUGUGAUUCCGAAGCAAUGCACAAACUAGCGCAAUUCUUGCUCCCUGGUUUGGCUGCGGUCUGUGUCGACGGUACGACGGGUGAUCUGUUCAGGAGCCCGUCUGUUGUUGCUGUUGACCUCAGGCAAGAAAUGGUGGACUACGUUACACAAAGAAGUGAAACGUUCAUAGCUGAUACUCUCAUUGAAUCGGAGGUGGAACAAAACGCUGAGAAUCAAAUGCCAGAUGACCCUUAUGAGGUCAUAUCAAUCUUCAUGGAUGAUUUCAGUCGCACGAAGAGGAACAUCAUUGGCCAUGUCUCUGGGUGGUUGUUGAGCGACAGCCGCGAAGAUAAGAUCGAUGAUUUUGUCCAGGAAAUGGAUAUGACCCGCUUCUGGCCACUAGAAAGGAGAGAAGGGAUCGCCGAGGUCCUCCUCAAGAAUGUGGACAUUAAAACUAAGUUCCACUGCCCUGAGAAAUAUGAAAACGAGGAACGUCUUGCUGAUCACAAGGCACAGUGUAGCUUCAGGCCUGUCACUUGCCCGAACGAUGGAUGCCGAGCGAAAGUUUCUGUCCGGUGCAUGCAGGAUCAUGAUGCAGCUUGUCUCUUCAAGAUCCUUCAGUGUGAGCAGAACUGCGAGAAACGGCUUCUGAGGCGUGAUAUGGAUAGACAUUGUGUUACUGUCUGCCCCAUGAGGCCCAUGAAGUGCCCUUUCGGCUGUGAUUCUUCGUUCCCUGAACAUAACCUCGAGGAGCACUGUUCAGAGAGUCUCCAGCAGCACCUGCUUAAGGUCCUUCAGGUGAUUCACAAGAAAGGUUUGACGGCUGAUCAGCUGAACGACCGUGCUCUAGAGCUGGAGAAGUCUGAAGUUCGUGGUAAACUGGCUAAAGCUCGGGAUGCAAGAUCUCUUACUAAUAUUGUGAAGGAUCUUGAAGCAAAGAAGACACCACCAAGUUGA
Molecule: ribosomal RNA, 1065 nt
Filed under: Triticum aestivum (bread wheat)
Lineage: Eukaryota; Viridiplantae; Streptophyta; Magnoliopsida; Poales; Poaceae
Description: partial small subunit ribosomal RNA
Source: RNAcentral